CAGAAGUGGCGGCCCUGCUGAGCCGAAGGAAAACCAGGACAAGGCAUCUUGUCUGCUUAGCUCUUGUCUUGUUGCCAUCCCCCAUAGCCUUUAGGCUUCCUUUGCUCUAGAUGGUUCAUGUUGUUGGAGAACCACACUGCAGCACUUGAGCAAAGCUGGCUGUGGUUCCCCAUGCCCAAGCUGCAGGGAGAGCUUCUACCCCCACCAAGGACAGUGCCAGCGCUGCUGGCAGGCCCUCCCGCACAGGUGAGUCAUGUCUGAGUCACUUGUCCCUGCGCCAGGAACAGCCAGCCUUUUCUCAGGAAGCAGAGCACACUUUCUCACUGACAUAAGGCUAAGCAAAAAGGACAGGUGAGGCGUCAGCAUGCAUGUGUUCCCAGCCAGCCAAAGCCUGGAGAAGCCCUGACGGAAGAUUAGAGGCAUCUGUUGUCAGUUCCGAGGCCUUCUUCUGCUGGAUCAAAGUGCUCAAGUCAUGCAACAUUAAUAAUGCCCUCCAGGAAGUCACGAGGGAGCACCUAUCUCCAGAAUAACAAACAGAUAUCUACCAGGAUGGGCUGAGUGUGACUUAAUGUUUGAAGAAAUUCUGAGCAAUUCUGGAUGAUUGGCCCAGUAAGGCACUAUUUCGAGGUGACUAGUAGAGAUGAGGUCGUAAGUUCUCGUAUUCUACUCUUGAUAAAUAACCCCCAAAUGACCCUUUAAAGAUGGCAUUACUCUAAAUUGUCUGCAGAGGAAUGUCAACCUGGUACAUCUAGGGACAUUCAUUCCAACUUUCUUUUGGGAAUAAAGGUGAUGUAUUCUGAAUAUAUCUGGUUUCC
Molecule: long non-coding RNA, 815 nt
Filed under: Anas platyrhynchos platyrhynchos (common mallard)
Lineage: Eukaryota; Metazoa; Chordata; Aves; Anseriformes; Anatidae
Description: lncRNA (ENSAPLG00000028198.1)
Source: RNAcentral